Molecule: ribosomal RNA, 496 nt
Filed under: uncultured bacterium
Lineage: Bacteria
Description: partial 16S ribosomal RNA
Rfam family: Bacterial small subunit ribosomal RNA
Source: RNAcentral
AUGAACGCUGGCGGCGUGCCUAAUCCCUGCAAGUCGCGCGAACAGACGAGGAGCUUGCUCCUCUGACGUUAGCGGCGGACGGGUGAGUAACACGUGGAUAACCUACCUAUAAGACUGGGAUAACUUCGGGAAACCGGAGCUAAUACCGGAUAAUAUAUUGAACCGCAUGGUUCAAUAGUGAAAGACGGUUUUGCUGUCACUUAUAGAUGGAUCCGCGCCGCAUUAGCUAGUUGGUAAGGUAACGGCUUACCAAGGCAACGAUGCGUAGCCGACCUGAGAGGGUGAUCGGCCACACCGGAACUGAGACACGGUCCAGACUCCUACGGGAGGCAGCAGUAGGGAAUCUUCCGCAAUGGGCGAAAGCCUGACGGAGCAACGCCGCGUGAGUGAUGAAGGUCUUCGGAUCGUAAAACUCUGUUAUUAGGGAAGAACAAAUGUGUAAGUAACUAUGCACGUCUUGACGGUACCUAAUCAGAAAGCCACGGCUAACUACGUG